CGUCACGAUGUAUUAUAUGUAAUGUCUUGUCAUUCCGAAAAAGAUUAUGGCGCGUUUUAUUCGCAGGUUUCAUUAAUAUUUAUAUGAUUAAUUCGUGUCCAAGGUGCACUUUACCGAAAAAAAACAUGGAAAUUGGUUUUAUUAAAACUGACUGUGCAAAUUUGCCAAAAAUGGAGUCUUUUAUGAUCGCAAAUUUCUUUGCCUCAAACCCGGACUUUUGUUCUGCAGAAUUUAGGAACGUGGAAACUUUAUUAUCAUCAAGACAGUUGUAUGGUGAUGAUGCUAAUUCAUAUGCUCACUCAAAUCCUAAAACAUCAAUCUGAUUACAAAGUGCCCGACAUUCUUCAGUUCUCGAUGCAUUAUUAGAGCAUCAAGCGUAAGAAAGGAAGUGACUGUGAAACGUUUUUAGCCAAAAUUAAUGGUGUUUUUACACAAGAAAAUAUAAAUUUUGUGGAAAGUCUGACUCAAGCACAACACAAAAUUCAAGCAUGGCAUGAGUUAAGGAAUAAAAGCAUCAAAAGCAAUUGAUGUUUCAACAUGCAAAACAACUGUUGGAUCCUUGGUUGCCUUAAUAAUGGGAGCUAAAGUACCAGAUACUCCAACCAUGAAAAGAGGAAAAUCAUUGGAAGAAGUAGUAAGAAAGGAGUUGGAAAAAAAUAUGACAAGA
RNAcentral lists this long non-coding RNA (667 nucleotides) under Manduca sexta (tobacco hornworm). RNAcentral describes it as "uncharacterized LOC119189668". Lineage: Eukaryota; Metazoa; Arthropoda; Insecta; Lepidoptera; Sphingidae. The record is from RNAcentral.